GGGCGCUUGGUCUAGGGGUAUGAUUUUCGUUUCGCAUGCUCUAACAGCAUUGUCUAUGAAAGGUCGUGGGUUCAAUUCCCACAGCGUCCA
Molecule: non-coding RNA, 90 nt
Organism: Stipitochalara longipes BDJ
Lineage: Eukaryota; Fungi; Ascomycota; Leotiomycetes; Helotiales; Hamatocanthoscyphaceae
Source: the annotation of a GenBank genome assembly